GACGAACGCUGGCGGCGUGCCUAAUACAUGCAAGUAGAACGCUGAAGCGAGGAGCUUGCUCUUCUUGCAUGAGUUGCGAACGGGUGAGUAACGCGUAGGUAACCUGCCUUUUAGCGGGGGAUAACUAUUGGAAACGAUAGCUAAUACCGCAUAACAAUGUAUGACACAUGUCUUUUAUUUGAAAGGGGCAUUUGCUCCACUACAAGAUGGACUUCCGUUGUAUUAGCUAGUAGGUGAGGUAAUGGCUCACCUAGGCGACGAUACAUAGCCGACCUGAGAGGGGGAUCGGCCACACUGGGAAUGGGACACGGCCCAGACUCCUACGGGAGGCAGCAGGAAGGAAUCUUCGGGAAUGGGGGCAAACCUGACCGAGCAACGCCGCGUGAGUGAAGAAGGUUGUCGGAUCGUAAAGCUCUGUUGUAAGUCAAGAAAGGGUGUGAGAGUGGAAAGUGCACACUGUGACGGUAGCUUACCAGAAAGGGACGGCUAACUACGUG
Molecule: ribosomal RNA, 497 nt
Filed under: uncultured bacterium
Lineage: Bacteria
Description: partial 16S ribosomal RNA
Rfam family: Bacterial small subunit ribosomal RNA
Source: RNAcentral